Long non-coding RNA from Raphanus sativus (radish), 700 nucleotides. RefSeq lists it as uncharacterized. Lineage: Eukaryota; Viridiplantae; Streptophyta; Magnoliopsida; Brassicales; Brassicaceae. The record is from RefSeq and is a predicted model, not a curated record. The transcript has 3 exons.
CUUAGCACUUGGAGAGAAUUUUUAAGCUUAUUUUCCUUUUAGUUAUCGAGCUGCGAUUCAACUAGUUUUAAGGUUUAAGUGGUUAGAAUUAGACAACGCAUACACAUAUCUUGCUGCCGCGACUUUUACAAUCUGUUGUGUUGGCUUCCCUUUCGGUUCCUAAAGAAGGCGUAAAAGCUACGCUAUCUCCCAAUACAAAAUCAACUAUGUAAAUUCUGGUUCUCACAGUAAUAUUGAAUCACUAUUACAAAAGCUUUCAAGAACGGUGGAAUAGUGACACUGACCACAAAGUAGAGAGAAGAAUAUGCUAGGAUGUUGAAGAAUCUGUCUCAGUAAAUAGGUGAAAGGAGUAGAGAAGAGAGGUAACAUGAAAGUGAAGCCACUCCAAGUGUUAGUAGGUGGGCCUGUAUUUCUCAUCUUUACCACAUCAUUUAAGUAAGUCGCUAUGUUUGAUGUGACUCCUUUGAAUUCAUAUCUCUCUAUCCUGUCAAUCACUAUGAGAAGGGUGUAAGCUUUUCUAAGUCCUCUUCUUAACUCUCCACCAGCCAUCGAGUGAGGCAAUUUAAGAUUGUGCUUUUGUGUGUGUGUGUGUGUUCUGAGGGAUAAAAAAGAGAGGUAAGGUUAUGUUUGAUUUGUGUGAGAGAGAAUUAUGGUUAUGCAUUGUGUGAAGAAUUAUAUUUAUAAAGCUUUACACCAUACA